RNAcentral lists this ribosomal RNA (984 nucleotides) under Toxocara canis (dog roundworm). RNAcentral describes it as "eukaryotic LSU rRNA". It matches the Rfam family "Eukaryotic large subunit ribosomal RNA", at positions 23 to 975 of the family's 3401-position model. Lineage: Eukaryota; Metazoa; Nematoda; Chromadorea; Rhabditida; Toxocaridae. The record is from RNAcentral.
ACCCGCUGAAUUUAAGCAUAUAACCAAGGGAGGAAAAGAAACAACAUGGAUUGCUCUAGUAACGGCGAGUGAAUGGGCAAAAGCCCAGCGCUGAUUCUGUUGGCCACUGGUCGCCUGGAAUUGCAGCGGAUAGGUGAGCCUGUCCGUUCGUUCCACGCACCCAAAGUCCCCUUGAGUGGGUCUAUAGUCCAAAGAAGGUGCUACAUCUGUACGGGUGGCGAGACGAUCGGUUGGUUGCUCCUUGGACUCGGGUUGCCUGGGAUCGCUGCCCAAAGUUGGUGGUAGACCUCAUCUAAGAUUUUGACUUCCUCGACGAGGGCAAAGCCGACGGUAACUGUUGGGCAUUUGAUCGGUGUAUUUGCGGCUGGUAUAUGCCGAGAGCUUUGCAGUCGCAUGUUGACAAUCGUGCAGUGGACCAUUCUUUCCGGGCGUGGAACCUUUCGUGCUUUGAGACAUGUCGGCUGUAAGGUUUUGGACGUGGCUUCUCCGCUAUGGUGCGUCAGGUUUUUCGAGCUGUUGUGGCUGCAGGAUGGUCGCGUCCGACUGUCUAUAGUCGUCGAUGGCGCGACAAGAGUGUGGACGCGGCGAGAAGUGCAUCUCGGUGUGAACGUCGACCACCUAUCCGACCCAUCUUGAAACACGGGUCAAGGAGCCUAGCAUAUGCGCGAGUCAUUGGGUGAUAAACCUAAAGGCGUAAUGAAAGUGAAAGUCGCCUCGACGCGACCAGUAUGGGAUCCAUGCGGUUUCUGUGGCCGCACUGCGCACCAUAGCCCCGUUCCCGUUGCUUGCAGUAAGGCGAAGGUAGAGCGCAUACGCUGGGACCCGAAAGAUGGUGAACUAUGCCUGAGCAGGAUGAAGCCAGAGGAAAUUCUGGUGGAAGUCCGAAGCGGUUCUGACGUGCAAAUCGAUCGUCUGACUUGGUUACAGUGGCGGAAGACUAAUCGAACCAUCUAGUAGCUGGUUUUCUCCGAAGUUUCCCUCCCA